AACGAACGCUGGCGGCAGGCCUAACACAUGCAAGUCGAGCGAGGACUUCGGUCCUAGCGGCGGACGGGUGAGUAACGCGUGGGAACGUGCCAUUUGCUUCGGAAUAGCCCUGGGAAACUGGGAGUAAUACCGGAUGAGCCCUUUGGGGGAAAGAUUUAUCGGCGAAGGAUCGGCCCGCGUUGGAUUAGGUAGUUGGUGGGGUAAUGGCCUACCAAGCCGACGAUCCAUAGCUGGUUUGAGAGGAUGAUCAGCCACACUGGGACUGAGACACGGCCCAGACUCCUACGGGAGGCAGCAGUGGGGAAUCUUAGACAAUGGGGGAAACCCUGAUCUAGCCAUGCCGCGUGAGCGAUGAAGGCCUUAGGGUUGUAAAGCUCUUUCAGCUGGGAAGAUAAUGACGGUACCAGCAGAAGAAGCCCCGGCUAACUCCGUG
This 433-nucleotide ribosomal RNA is filed under the name uncultured bacterium. Its description in RNAcentral is "partial 16S ribosomal RNA". It matches the Rfam family "Bacterial small subunit ribosomal RNA", at positions 29 to 507 of the family's 1533-position model. The record is from RNAcentral.